Leguminivora glycinivorella is the source of this 1045-nucleotide long non-coding RNA. RefSeq lists it as uncharacterized. Lineage: Eukaryota; Metazoa; Arthropoda; Insecta; Lepidoptera; Tortricidae. The record is from RefSeq and is a predicted model, not a curated record. The transcript is spliced from 2 exons.
ACUUUGUAUAGUUUUGAUAUACUUUAAGUAUUGAUUUUUGGAAAAUAUAAUAUUUUAGAGACAUGAUAACAAAUGUUAUCAUAGGUUUUUUAAGGCUGUUCUGGAAUGAUAUUUGUUAGGUUUUGUUUACUUCAAGGUCUGAUACAGAAACUGGAGUAAUUUUCAUUUAAUGAAUUAGAGUAUUUUAUUGUUUAUUCGUUUGCCACCCGGCUUUUGUUUUGGGUCCUUUAAAUUCGAGAUCAUUCAGUGCGCCGUUCUUUCUGUGACGAGAUCCUCUUGUAUAGUGAUCGGACGGCCGUAUAAGGGCCUGGAGCCCGGCAUGCCACGUGCUGCCGUGGCGUUCCAUAUUUUGUGUGGUGCGUUCUGUCAGUCUGACUGGCAGAAACAUGCUAAGGGUGGGAGUGCUCCUUGGAGAUCCUCGGUCUGCAGUCUGCAGGUCUCCGGUGAGCUCGCUUACAUUUUUUUGUUUAGUCUAUCACAGUGUGUGAGGGCACUCGACUAAUGUGACCAAUUUAUUUGUUUCAUAGGAGUCGGGAAGAAGUAAAGAAUUAGAGAAUUGCAGAAGUAGAUAAUUAAACAAGAACCUUUACAAUUUCGAUGUGCAAGGAAACUUCUUUGGCUUACUGGCGCAAGGUGUCUUUGGACCUUGUUUUCGUAUGGAAGGGUCAGCCCUGUCCACGUGGCGAGGGGGCGUCAGCACCGGAGUCCGGGGAGCAGCCGGCUCAUCCCUGACAAGGUGUGUCUCCUGCCCGUUUCCUGCCGGUAAUGCUGUGUAAUUCAGGUUUUUAAUUUCUGUGUAAAGUAAUUUCUGAUUUCAUUUAUUUUGAGAAUUCUGGUGCAUAACUUUAGGUAAAUUCAUAUUUAGUUUUUGUAGAAUAAAUGGUUGUAAGAAACCUUUUCCUGGACCCUCUUAAAGCGGCCCAGCUUUACCACUGAGCGUAGUUCAUAUUUUAUAUGGUGUCGAAUUUAGUAUUUCGGGAAACAUUAAAUGAAACCUUUCUGUAGGCAAGAGUUUAUUUAUAAUUAAUAAAGUUAUAAAAUGUGA